Molecule: ribosomal RNA, 674 nt
Filed under: uncultured bacterium
Lineage: Bacteria
Description: bacterial SSU rRNA
Rfam family: Bacterial small subunit ribosomal RNA
Source: RNAcentral
GGGGGACUGACCCCCUCCGUGCCGGAGUUAACACAAUAAGUAUUCCACCUGGGGAGUACGAUCGCAAGGUUGAAACUCAAAGGAAUUGACGGGGGCCCGCACAAGCAGUGGAUUAUGUGGUUUAAUUCGAAGCAACGCGAAGAACCUUACCAGGGCUUGACAUCCAACUAACGAAGCAGAGAUGCAUUAGGUGCCCUUCGGGGAAAGUUGAGACAGGUGGUGCAUGGUUGUCGUCAGCUCGUGUCGUGAGAUGUUGGGUUAAGUCCCGCAACGAGCGCAACCCUUAUUGUUAGUUGCUACGAAAGAGCACUCUAGCGAGACUGCCGUUGACAAAACGGAGGAAGGUGGGGACGACGUCAAAUCAUCAUGCCCCUUAUGUCCUGGGCUACACACGUAAUACAAUGGCGUUUAACAGAGGGAAGCAAGACCGCGAGGUGGAGCAAAUCCCUAAAAGGCGUCUCAGUUCGGAUUGCAGGCUGCAACUCGCCUGCAUGAAGUCGGAAUUGCUAGUAAUCGCGGAUCAGCACGCCGCGGUGAAUACGUUCCCGGGCCUUGUACACACCGCCCGUCACACCAUGAGAGCCGGGAACACCCGAAGUCCGUAGUCUAACCGCAAGGAGGGCGCGGCCGAAGGUGGGUUUGGUAAUUAGGGUGAAGUCGUAACAAGGUAGCCG